Molecule: ribosomal RNA, 459 nt
Filed under: uncultured bacterium
Lineage: Bacteria
Description: partial 16S ribosomal RNA
Rfam family: Bacterial small subunit ribosomal RNA
Source: RNAcentral
CCUACGGGAGGCAGCAGUGAGGAAUAUUGGUCAAUGGUCGGGAGACUGAACCAGCCAAGCCGCGUGAGGGAUGAAGGUACAGAGUAUCGUAAACCUCUUUUGUCAGGGAACAAAGGCGGGGACGUGUCCCCGGAUGAGUGUACCUGAAGAAAAAGCAUCGGCUAACUCCGUGCCAGCAGCCGCGGUAAUACGGAGGAUGCGAGCGUUAUCCGGAUUUAUUGGGUUUAAGGGGUGCACAGGCGGUCUGUUAAGUCAGCGGUAAAAGCCCGGGGCGAAACCCCGGCCCGCCGUUGAAACUGGCAGUCUCGAGUUGGAGAGAAGUAUGCGGAAUGCGCGGUGUAGCGGUGAAAUGCAUAGAUAUCGCGCAGAACUCCGAUUGCGAAGGCAGCAUGCCGGCUCCACACUGACGCUGAGGCACGAAAGCGUGGGUAUCGAACAGGAUUAGAUACCCUUGUAGUC